RNAcentral lists this ribosomal RNA (996 nucleotides) under uncultured archaeon. Its description in RNAcentral is "bacterial SSU rRNA". It matches the Rfam family "Archaeal small subunit ribosomal RNA", at positions 1 to 999 of the family's 1478-position model. The record is from RNAcentral.
UUCCGGUUGAUCCCGCCGGAGGCCACUGCUAUCGGAGUUCGACUAAGCCAUGCGAGUCGAGAGGGGAAAGCCCUCGGCGUACUGCUCAGCAACACGUGGAUAACCUGCCCUUGGGUCUGGGAUAACCCCGGGAAACUGGGGAUAAUACCGGAUAACGCAUAUGUGCUGGAAUGCUUUAUGCGUAAAACGGAUUCGUCCGCCCAAGGAUGGGUCUGCGGCCUAUCAGGUAGUAGUGGGUGUAAUGUACCUACUAGCCAACAACGGGUACGGGUUGUGAGAGCAAGAGCCCGGAGAUGGAUUCUGAGACAUGAAUCCAGGCCCUACGGGGCGCAGCAGGCGCGAAAACUUUACAAUGCGGGAAACCGUGAUAAGGGAACACCGAGUGCCAGCAUCAUAUGCUGGCUGUCCAGAUGUGUAAACUACAUCUGUUAGCAAGGGCCGGGCAAGACCGGUGCCAGCCGCCGCGGUAACACCGGCGGCCCGAGUGGUGACCGUUAUUAUUGGGUCUAAAGGGUCCGUAGCCGGUUUGGUCAGUCCUCCGGGAAAUCUGAUAGCUUAACUGUUAGGCUUUCGGGGGAUACUGCCAGGCUUGGAACCGGGAGAGGUAAGAGGUACUACAGGGGUAGGAGUGAAAUCUUGUAAUCCCUGUGAGACCACCUGUGGCGAAGGCGUCUUACCAGAACGGGUUCGACGGUGAGGGACGAAAGCUGGGGGCACGAACCGGAUUAGAUACCCGGGUAGUCCCAGCCGUAAACUAUGCUCGCUAGGUGUCAGGCAUGGCGCGACCGUGUCUGGUGCCGCAGGGAAGCCGUGAAGCGAGCCACCUGGGAAGUACGGCCGCAAGGCUGAAACUUAAAGGAAUUGGCGGGGGAGCACAACAACGGGUGGAGCCUGCGGUUUAAUUGGACUCAACGCCGGACAACUCACCGGGAACGACAGCAAUAUGUAGGCCAGGCUGAAGACCUUGCCUGAAUCGCUGAGAGGAGGUGCAUGGCC